UAUCAAUUCAAUUUCAAUUUUUUAACUAUUGUUUUUAAUAUUUGUAAAUAUAAAUAAAAUUGUAUUUAAUUUAUUUUUACUAUUUAUUGAUCAAAUUGAACUUUUUGCAGAUUCAGUAAUAUAAUAAAAGAUACUGAACUGUUGAAAUAAAGCUUGAACCCUUGUCCAGUAUAAUGUCACUAAACAAUAAUCACGAUAUAUUAGGAUCGUGUAGAUUUACUUAAAAUAAUUUGAUAUUGGUUUAGUUAAAAAGUAAUAUUCUUUUAUUAUAUUACAAUCACGGUAAACCAGCUUUCUAGUCAACAUCAAUUCACGACUUUUCGACAUAUACUCGUACUACUAUUGAAAAACAACAAAGAAAAUUAUAAUAAUUAAUAAUAUACUUAUGGAUUUUCAAAAAAAUCUCACUGCAAAUUUAAUAAUAACUGUGAAUAAUGAAUAUAAAUUGAUGCAAGAGGAGUAACAAAUAGCUUACAAUUUGAAACAUAAUUUUUCGAUAAUUCUAUUGGGGUUACAAAUACAACUACAACGAUGCAUGGAGAAAAAACAAAAUUAAUUGUAUUAUAUGAAUUAAUAUACAAUAACAAUAGAGAUGUUUAAAUCAAACUCAAAUAUUAUUUGUUAAUAUUCUUAUCUUAAAUAUAUAAGACAAGUGAAGAUUGAAAUUUCAAAAUCUCAAGUUCAAAAUAUAAAAUAUAAAUCACCUUCAAGGUUAAAAAUCCAAAAAAAUUAACUACCCCAAGAGAUAAAAGGAUAACGAUCAGACAAAAAAGAACACUCAUCAUAAUAAAAUCAAAAUAUUCUUAACCCUCUCAUUAACUAAAAAUAAUAAUGAAUAUAAAAGUUUAAGUAACCGUGUUUUAUCUUUUAUACUUGCAGUUUUCCAACUAACCAUCAU
Long non-coding RNA from Aphis gossypii (cotton aphid), 898 nucleotides. RefSeq lists it as uncharacterized. The transcript has 4 exons. Lineage: Eukaryota; Metazoa; Arthropoda; Insecta; Hemiptera; Aphididae. The record is from RefSeq and is a predicted model, not a curated record.